This 384-nucleotide ribosomal RNA is filed under the name uncultured bacterium. Its description in RNAcentral is "partial 16S ribosomal RNA". It matches the Rfam family "Bacterial small subunit ribosomal RNA", at positions 355 to 729 of the family's 1533-position model. The record is from RNAcentral.
UGGGGAAUUUUGGACAAUGGCGAAAGCCUGAUCCAGCAAUGCCGCGUGUGUGAAGAAGGCCUUCGGGUUGUAAAGCACUUUUGUCCGGAAAGAAAUCCUUGGCUCUAAUACAGUCGGGGGAUACGGUACCGGAAGAAUAAGCACCGGCUAACUACGUGCCAGCAGCCGCGGUAAUACGUAGGGUGCAAGCGUUAAUCGGAAUUACUGGGCGUAAGCUGCGCAGGCGGUUUGCUAAGACCGAUGUGAAAUCCCCGGGCUCAACCUUGGGAACUGCAUUUGGGUGACUGGCAGGGCUAGAGUAUGGCAGAGGGGGGUUAGAAUUCCACGUGUAGCAGUGAAAUGCGUAGAGAUGUUGGAGGAAUACCGAUGGCGAAGGCAGCCCCC